CUUGUAAUUGGAAUGAUGGGAAUUUAAACCUCUUCCAGAGUAUCAAUUGGAGGGCAAGUCUGGUGCCAGCAGCCGCGGUAAUUCCAGCUCCAAUAGCGUAUAUUAAAAUUGUUGCAGUUAAAAAGCUCGUAGUUGAAUUUCUGCUGCAUUGCUUUUGCUCCUUUACGAGUCUUUGCAUUGUGGCUUAUUUCGGACUUUGUUUUACAAUGUCCGGAUGUUUACUUUGAGAAAAUUAGAGUGCUCAAAGCAGGCUUUCGCCUUGAAUAGUUUAGCAUGGAAUAAUAAAGUAGGACUUUGGUUCUAUUUUGUUGGUUUUAGGUACCAAAGUAAUGGUUAAUAGGAACAGUUGGGGGCAUUCGUAUUUAACUGUCAGAGGUGAAAUUCUUAGAUUUGUUAAAGACGAACUACUGCGAAAGCAUUUGCCAAGGAUGUUUUCAUUAAUCAAGAACGAAAGUUAGGGGAUCGAAGACGAUCAGAUACCGUCGUAGUCCUACCC
RNAcentral lists this ribosomal RNA (496 nucleotides) under Theileria ovis. RNAcentral describes it as "SSU rRNA". It matches the Rfam family "Eukaryotic small subunit ribosomal RNA", at positions 502 to 1031 of the family's 1831-position model. Lineage: Eukaryota; Apicomplexa; Aconoidasida; Piroplasmida; Theileriidae. The record is from RNAcentral.